UACAGAGGGUGCGAGCGUUAAUCGGAAUUACUGGGCGUAAAGGGCGCGUAGGCGGUUAUAUGAGUGGGAUGUGAAAGCCCUGGGCUUAACCUGGGAAGUGCAUACCAAACGAUAUAGCUGGAGUACAGGAGAGGGUGGCGGAAUUUCCGGUGUAGCGGUGAAAUGCGUAGAGAUCGGAAGGAACGUCGAUGGCGAAAGCAGCCACCUGGCCUGAAACUGACGCUGAGGCGCGAAAGCAUGGGGAGCAAACAGGAUUAGAAACCCCAGUAGUCC
This 273-nucleotide ribosomal RNA is filed under the name uncultured bacterium. RNAcentral's name for it is "partial 16S ribosomal RNA". It matches the Rfam family "Bacterial small subunit ribosomal RNA", at positions 524 to 796 of the family's 1533-position model. The record is from RNAcentral.